Molecule: ribosomal RNA, 914 nt
Filed under: uncultured archaeon
Lineage: Archaea
Description: bacterial SSU rRNA
Rfam family: Archaeal small subunit ribosomal RNA
Source: RNAcentral
UUCCGGUUGAUCCUGCCGGACCUGACUGCUAUCGGAUUGAUACUAAGCCAUGCGAGUCAUUGUAGCAAUACAAGGCAGACGGCUCAGUAACGCGUAGUCAACCUACCCUAUGGACGGGAAUAACCUCGGGAAACUGAGUAUAAUGCCCGAUAGAACACUAUACCUGGAAUGGUUUGUGUUCCAAAUGAUUUAUUGCCAUAGGAUGGGACUGCGGCCUAUCAGUUUGUUGGUGAGGUAAUGGCCCACCAAGACUAUUACAGGUACGGGCUCUGAGAGGAGUGGCCCGGAGAUGGGUACUGAGACACGGACCCAGGCCCUAUGGGGCGCAGCAGGCGAGAAAACUUUGCAAUGUGCGAAAGCACGACAAGGUUAAUCCGAGUGGUUUCUGCUAAAGGAACCUUUUGACAGUCCUAGAAACACUGUUGAAUAAGGGGUGGGCAAGUUCUGGUGUCAGCCGCCGCGGUAAAACCAGCACCUCAAGUGGUCAGGAUGAUUAUUGGGCCUAAAGCAUCCGUAGCCGGCUCUGUAAGUUUUCGGUUAAAUCUGUACGCUUAACGUACAGGCUGCUGGGAAUACUGCAGAGCUAGGGAGUGGGAGAGGUAGACGGUACUCGGGAGGAAGUGGUAAAAUGCUUUGAUCUCUCGAUGACCACCUGUGGCGAAGGCGGUCUACCAGAACAUGUCCGACGGUGAGGGAUGAAAGCUGGGGGAGCAAACCGGAUUAGAUACCCGGGUAGUCCCAGCUGUAAACUAUGCAAACUCAGUGAUGCACUGGCUUGUGGCCAGUGCAGUGUUGCAGGGAAGCCGUUAAGUUUGCCGCCUGGGAAGUACGUACGCAAGUAUGAAACUUAAAGGAAUUGGCGGGGGAGCACCACAAGGGGUGAAGCCUGCGGUUCAAUUGGAGUCAACGCCGGG